GACGAACGCUGGCGGCGCGCCUAACACAUGCAAGUCGAACGAGAGAUGAGGAGCUUGCUCUUCAAAUCGAGUGGCGAACGGGUGAGUAACGCGUGAGGAACCUGCCUCAAAGAGGGGGACAACAGUUGGAAACGACUGCUAAUACCGCAUAAGCCCACGGCUCGGCAUCGAGCAGAGGGAAAAGGAGCAAUCCGCUUUGAGAUGGCCUCGCGUCCGAUUAGCUGGUUGGUGAGGUAACGGCCCACCAAGGCGACGAUCGGUAGCCGGACUGAGAGGUUGAACGGCCACAUUGGGACUGAGACACGGCCCAGACUCCUACGGGAGGCAGCAGUGGGGAAUAUUGCACAAUGGGGGAAACCCUGAUGCAGCGACGCCGCGUGGAGGAAGAAGGUCUUCGGAUUGUAAACUCCUGUUGUUGAGGAAGAUAAUGACGGUACUCAACAAGGAAGUGA
RNAcentral lists this ribosomal RNA (452 nucleotides) under uncultured bacterium. RNAcentral's name for it is "bacterial SSU rRNA". It matches the Rfam family "Bacterial small subunit ribosomal RNA", at positions 28 to 493 of the family's 1533-position model. The record is from RNAcentral.